RNAcentral lists this ribosomal RNA (833 nucleotides) under uncultured delta proteobacterium. Its description in RNAcentral is "bacterial SSU rRNA". It matches the Rfam family "Bacterial small subunit ribosomal RNA", at positions 71 to 882 of the family's 1533-position model. Lineage: Bacteria; Deltaproteobacteria. The record is from RNAcentral.
AAAGCCUCUUCGGAGGUGAGUAAAGUGGCGCACGGGUGAGUAACGCGUGGGUAAUGUGCCCUCGGGUUUGGGAUAACCCCGGGAAACCGGAGCUAAUACCGAAUAAGACCACGAUGACCUCGGUCGAUGUGGGAAAAGGUGGCCCCUCGCAGAAGCCAUCGCCGGAGGAUCAGCCCGCGUUUGAUUAGCUUGUUGGUGAGGUAACGGCUCACCAAGGCUCCGAUCAAUAGCUGGUCUGAGAGGAUGAUCAGCCACACUGGAACUGAGACACGGUCCAGACUCCUACGGGAGGCAGCAGUCAGGAAUAUUGGGCAAUGGGCGAAAGCCUGACCCAGCAACGCCGCGUGAAGGAUGAAGGCCCUCGGGUCGUAAACUUCUGUCGAGAGGGAAGAACUGCGUACGGUUAAUAUCCGUGCGUUUGACGGUACCUCCAAAGGAAGCACCGGCUAACUCCGUGCCAGCAGCCGCGGUAAUACGGAGGGUGCAAGCGUUGUUCGGAUUUAUUGGGCGUAAAGCGAGUGUAGGCGGUUUGACAAGUCGGGUGUGAAAUCCCAGGGCCCAACCCUGGAACUGCACCCGAUACUGUCAGGCUAGAGUCCCGGAGAGGGUGGCGGAAUUCCCGGUGUAGGGGUGAAAUCCGUAGAUAUCGGGAGGAACACCAGUGGCGAAGGCGGCCACCUGGACGGUGACUGACGCUGAGACUCGAAAGCGUGGGUAGCAAACAGGAUUAGAUACCCUGGUAGUCCACGCCGUAAACGGUGAGUGCUCGUCGUCGUGGGUAUUGACCCCUGCGGUGACCAAGUUAACGCAUGAAGCACUCCGCCUGGGAAGUA